GGAGAGGUGGCUGAGUGGUCGAAAGCGACACACUGCUAACGUGUUGGGGUGCAAAAGCCCUCGCAGGUUCGAAUCCUGUCCUCUCCGCCA
Molecule: transfer RNA, 90 nt
Filed under: bacterium
Lineage: Bacteria
Also listed under: 1 other name
Description: tRNA-Ser
Rfam family: tRNA
About the family: Transfer RNA (tRNA) molecules are approximately 80 nucleotides in length.
Source: RNAcentral